This 387-nucleotide ribosomal RNA is filed under the name uncultured bacterium. RNAcentral's name for it is "bacterial SSU rRNA". It matches the Rfam family "Bacterial small subunit ribosomal RNA", at positions 29 to 417 of the family's 1533-position model. The record is from RNAcentral.
AUUGAACGCUGGCGGCAUGCCUUACACAUGCAAGUCGAACGGCAGCACGGGGGCAACCCUGGUGGCGAGUGGCGAACGGGUGAGUAACACAUCGGAACGUGCCCAGUAGUGGGGGAUAGCUCGGCGAAAGCCGGAUUAAUACCGCAUACGACCUACGGGUGAAAGCGGGGGAUCGCAAGACCUCGCGCUAUUGGAGCGGCCGAUGUCAGAUUAGGUUGUUGGUGGGGUAAAGGCCUACCAAGCCGACGAUCUGUAGCUGGUCUGAGAGGACGACCAGCCACACUGGGACUGAGACACGGCCCAGACUCCUACGGGAGGCAGCAGUGGGGAAUUUUGGACAAUGGGCGCAAGCCUGAUCCAGCCAUGCCGCGUGCGGGAAGAAGGCCU